This 443-nucleotide ribosomal RNA is filed under the name uncultured bacterium. Its description in RNAcentral is "bacterial SSU rRNA". It matches the Rfam family "Bacterial small subunit ribosomal RNA", at positions 338 to 795 of the family's 1533-position model. The record is from RNAcentral.
CCUACGGGGGGCUGCAGUAGGGAAUUUUCCGCAAUGGGCGCAAGCCUGACGGAGCAAUACCGCGUGAGGGAUGAAUGCCUAUGGGUUGUAAACCUCUUUUUUCAGGGAGGAACACAAUGACGUUACCUGAAGAAUAAGCAUCGGCUAACUCCGUGCCAGCAGCCGCGGUAAGACGGAGGAUGCAAGUGUUAUCCGGAAUCACUGGGCGUAAAGCGUCUGUAGGUGGUUUAGUAAGUCAACUGUUAAAUCUUGAGGCUUAACCUCAAAAUCGCAGUCGAAACUAUUAGACUCGAGUAUAGUAGGGGUAAAGGGAAUUUCCAGUGGAGCGGUGAAAUGCGUAGAGAUUGGAAAGAACACCGAUGGCGAAAGCACUUUACUGGGCUAUUACUGACACUCAGAGACGAAAGCUAGGGUAGCAAAUGGGAUUAGAUACCCUUGUAGUC